Molecule: ribosomal RNA, 324 nt
Filed under: uncultured bacterium
Lineage: Bacteria
Description: bacterial SSU rRNA
Rfam family: Bacterial small subunit ribosomal RNA
Source: RNAcentral
GAUGAACGCUGGCGGCGUGCCUAACACAUGCAAGUCGAGCGAAGCACUCUACUCGAUUUCUUCGGGAUGAAGGUUUAGUGACCGAGCGGCGGACGGGUGAGUAACGCGUGGGUAACCUGCCUCUCAGAGUGGAAUAACGUUUGGAAACGAACGCUAAUACCGCAUAACGUGAGAAGAGGGCAUCCUCUUUUGUCCAAAGAUUUAUCGCUGAGAGAUGGGCUCGCGGCCGAUUAGGUAGUUGGUGAGAUAACAGCCCACCAAGCCGACGAUCGGUAGCCGGACUGAGAGGUUGAUCGGCCACAUUGGGACUGAGACACGGCCCAG